RNAcentral lists this ribosomal RNA (446 nucleotides) under uncultured bacterium. RNAcentral describes it as "bacterial SSU rRNA". It matches the Rfam family "Bacterial small subunit ribosomal RNA", at positions 329 to 792 of the family's 1533-position model. The record is from RNAcentral.
ACCCAGACUCCUACGGGAGGCAGCAGUGGGGAAUAUUGCACAAUGGGGGAAACCCUGAUGCAGCGACGCCGCGUGAGUGAAGAAGUACUUCGUUAUGUAAAGCUCUAUCAGCAGGGAAGAAAAUGACGGUACCUGAGUAAGAAGCCCCGGCUAACUACGUGCCAGCAGCCGCGGUAAUACGUAGGGGGCAAGCGUUAUCCGGAUUUACUGGGUGUAAAGGGAGCGUAGACGGCAGUGCAAGUCUGGAGUGAAAGGCGGGGGCUCAACCCCCGGACUGCUCUGGAAACUGUACGGCUGGAGUGCAGGAGAGGUUAAUGGAAUUCCUAGUGUAGCGGUGGAAUGCGUAGAUAUUAGGAGGAACACCAGAGGCGAAGGCGAUUAACUGGACCGUAACUGACGCUGAGGCACGAAAGUGUGGGUAGCAAACAGGAUUAGAUACCCGUGUA